UGGGGGAAACCCUGACGCAGCGACGCCGCGUGCGGGAUGGAGGCCUUCGGGUUGUGAACCGCUUUUGUUAGGGAGCAAGUGAGAGUGAGUGUACCUUUCGAAUAAGGACCGGCUAACUACGUGCCAGCAGCCGCGGUAAUACGUAGGGUCCAAGCGCUGUCCGGAAUUAUUGGGCGUAAAGGGCUCGUAGGCGGUUCGUCGCGUCUGGUGUGAAAGCCCAUUGCUUAACGGUGGGUUUGCGCUGGAUACGGGCGGGCUUGAGUGCGGUAGGGGAGAACGGAAUUCCCGGUGUAACGGUGGAAUGUGUAGAUAUCGGGAAGAACACCGAUGGCGAAGGCAGUUCUCUGGGCCGUGACUGACGCUGAGGAGCGAAAGCGUGGGGAGCGAACAGGAUUAGAUACCCUGGUAGUCCACGCUGUAAACGGUGGAUGCUGGAUGUGGGGCCCAUUUCCACGGGUUCUGUGUCGGAGCUAACGCGUUAAGCAUCCCGCCUGGGGAGUACGGCCGCAAGGUUAAAACUCAAAGAAAUUGACGGGGGCCCGCACAAGCGGCGGAGCAUGCGGUUUAAUUCGAUGCAACGCGAAGAACCUUACCUGGGUUUGACAUGUGGACGAUGAUGGCAGAGAUGCUGUUUCCCUUCGGGGGCGUCCUCACAGGUGGUGCAUGGCCGUCGUCAGCUCGUGUCGUGAGAUGUUG
This 696-nucleotide ribosomal RNA is filed under the name Bifidobacteriaceae bacterium oral taxon 407. RNAcentral's name for it is "bacterial SSU rRNA". It matches the Rfam family "Bacterial small subunit ribosomal RNA", at positions 372 to 1077 of the family's 1533-position model. The record is from RNAcentral. Lineage: Bacteria; Bacillati; Actinomycetota; Actinomycetes; Bifidobacteriales; Bifidobacteriaceae.